This 292-nucleotide small RNA is filed under the name Theropithecus gelada (gelada). RNAcentral's name for it is "7SK RNA (ENSTGEG00000024814.1)". The record is from RNAcentral. Lineage: Eukaryota; Metazoa; Chordata; Mammalia; Primates; Cercopithecidae.
GGAAGGGAAACUGACAUCUCUCUGUCAAUUAAUAAAGUCUCCUGUGAGUGUGAAGGUAGACUGGCUGGCUAGGUGGUGACCUUGUUUUCCCUUACAGAUCUUCCAAAGCUGCUUGCUCUGUCAAAGAAGAUGGCAGUCACAAAUAAAGAAGAAAGGCUCUCUAGUGUUCGGAGCUGUGUUUUCCUGCUAGAUCCUCAAAACAGACAUAAUUAGUGUGUUUAUAUGAGAUCUGUUUAGUAGCUAAGAGAGCAUUUGAGAUAAAAGGAAGGUAUCUUAGUCACCUUCCUGCUUU